RNAcentral lists this ribosomal RNA (404 nucleotides) under uncultured bacterium. RNAcentral describes it as "bacterial SSU rRNA". It matches the Rfam family "Bacterial small subunit ribosomal RNA", at positions 355 to 776 of the family's 1533-position model. The record is from RNAcentral.
UGGGGAAUUUUGCGCAAUGGGGGAAACCCUGACGCAGCGACGCCGCGUGGAGGAUGAAGGUCUUCGGAUUGUAAACUCCUUUUGUCGGGGAAGAUAAUGACGGUACCCGUCGAAUAAGCCACGGCUAACUCUGUGCCAGCAGCCGCGGUAAGACAGAGGUGGCAAGCGUUGUUCGGAAUUACUGGGCUCAAAGGGCGCGUAGGCGUCCCGACAAGUCAGAUGUGGAAGCUUCCCGCUUAACGGGGAAAUUGCAUCUGAAACUGUCGGGAUUGAGUCAGCGAGGGGAUGGCGGAAUUCCAGGUGUAGCGGUGAAAUGCGUAGAUAUCUGGAGGAAGGCCGGUGGCGAAGGCGGCCAUCUGGCGCUGAACUGACGCUGAGGCGCGAAAGCGUGGGGAGCAAACAGG